Long non-coding RNA from Perca fluviatilis (European perch), 315 nucleotides. RefSeq lists it as uncharacterized. NCBI's taxonomy places the organism in Eukaryota, Metazoa, Chordata, Actinopteri, Perciformes, Percidae. The transcript has 2 exons. The record is from RefSeq and is a predicted model, not a curated record.
UCCCAUGCAGACUGCAGCAACAUCAACACAAAGCUCCCCGCUGUGAAGGCUUUGAAUCGUGACCAGACAGCCAGGAAAAACAGAAAAGGGAGCGCCGUGUCAUUUUCUCCACGCAGGACGUAGUGAGCCGGAGCAAGUUCUUGAUGGCCGACUGUGAGAGAGGAGACGUGGACACUGUGCGGUGGGCUGGACAGCGCAAAGUUUUGCCCUCGCGACCGAGAGCCUCGGGCCAAGUGGGAGCGAGGGAGCUCCAGACGGAUUGUGGGACAAUUCGUUGCUGAUGUGAUCAUCAAAUAAAGAGCUGUGGCAAAUAUU